AGUGAACGCUGGCGGUAGGCCUAACACAUGCAAGUCGAACGGCAGCACAGUAAGAGCUUGCUCUUACGGGUGGCGAGUGGCGGACGGGUGAGGAAUACAUCGGAAUCUACUUUUUCGUGGGGGAUAACGUAGGGAAACUUACGCUAAUACCGCAUACGACCUACGGGUGAAAGCAGGGGAUCUUCGGACCUUGCGCGAUUGAAUGAGCCGAUGUCGGAUUAGCUAGUUGGCGGGGUAAAGGCCCACCAAGGCGACGAUCCGUAGCUGGUCUGAGAGGAUGAUCAGCCACACUGGAACUGAGACACGGUCCAGACUCCUACGGGAGGGAGCAGUGGGGAAUAUUGGACAAUGGGCGCAAGCCUGAUCCAGCAAUACCGCGUGGGUGAAGAAGGCCUUCGGGUUGUAAAGCCCUUUUGUUGGGAAAGAAAAGCAGCAGGUUAAUACCCCGCUGUUCUGACGGUACCCAAAGAAUAAGCACCGGCUAACUUCGUG
RNAcentral lists this ribosomal RNA (492 nucleotides) under uncultured bacterium. RNAcentral describes it as "partial 16S ribosomal RNA". It matches the Rfam family "Bacterial small subunit ribosomal RNA", at positions 29 to 507 of the family's 1533-position model. The record is from RNAcentral.